Molecule: transfer RNA, 72 nt
Filed under: Acidimicrobiaceae bacterium
Lineage: Bacteria; Bacillati; Actinomycetota; Acidimicrobiia; Acidimicrobiales; Acidimicrobiaceae
Description: tRNA-Arg
Rfam family: tRNA
About the family: Transfer RNA (tRNA) molecules are approximately 80 nucleotides in length.
Source: RNAcentral
GCCCCCGUAGCUCAGGGGAUAGAGCAUCGGCCUCCGGAGCCGUGUGCGCAGGUUCGAAUCCUGCCGGGGGUG